Molecule: ribosomal RNA, 470 nt
Filed under: uncultured bacterium
Lineage: Bacteria
Description: bacterial SSU rRNA
Rfam family: Bacterial small subunit ribosomal RNA
Source: RNAcentral
ACUAACGCUGGCGGCGUGCCUAACACAUGCAAGUCGAACGAGGAUUCAUGAGUAGCAAUACGAUUGAAUUUCUAGUGGCAGACGGGUGAGUAACGCGUAGAUAACGUGCCCUUCAGUUUGGGAUAGCUGGCCGAAAGGCCAGGUAAUACCAAAUUCGCUCUCGUCGGGACAUCCCGAUGCGAGGAAAGCAGCAAUGCGCUGGAUGAGCGGUCUGCGUCCUAUUAGCUAGUUGGUGGGGUAACAGCCUACCAAGGCGACGAUGGGUAGCCGGUCUGAGAGGAUGAUCGGCCACACUGGCACUGAGACACGGGCCAGACUCCUACGGGAGGCAGCAGUGAGGGAUUUUGCGCAAUGGGCGAAAGCCUGACGCAGCGACGCCGCGUGAGGGAUGACGGUCUUCGGAUUGUAAACCUCUGUCAGAGGGGAAGAGUAAGGACGGUACCCUCUGAGGAAGCUUCGGCUAACUACGU